CCCUAAUCUUCCCGUAUCUCUCUGCCCUCUCUCCCUUAUCUCUUUCUCUGCCGAUCUGAGCGGAGGCGGCGGUGGCUCCCAUCCUCUUCCUCCACUCCUCUCCCUCAGAUUGAGCUCCGCCCCGGAGGAAAGGGUACGCGGCCGUCGAUCUGUGCGCGUCUAGCCAUGGAGGGCUCGCCCCUCUCGCGCGCCUCGUCCGCACGGAGCGCUAGCAGCCCACACGGCGUAGAUCCACUAUCCCUGCGUCCGCCCCACACCGGCCGCCGGUGACUGCCGCACUAUUCCAUUCCUCCCCAAGCCCGCCGCACGCGACGGCCCAUGCUGCCAUGCCGUUUUUCUGCAGCCAGACCGCCGCCCCUACGCUCGCGCUCCGGGCAGAUGCUCGUUCUUCUUGGUGGUGACUACGCGUUCCUCCCGGUGGUGGCGCUCUACCCUUUGUGUUGCCUUUCUCCAAGCAGUUGUGCCCUUCGACCCCUACCUGUAAUCAAUUGAUCCGGCAACAGAGAGUUGAAGCUGCAAACAAGCGUGAUGAGGAAAAAGCCGAAUUUAUGACUGACAGAUUACAUGCUGGUUUCUUACUGCUUGGGUUUCGACAUUUGACAAUUGAACAAAUCAUAUACUGCAGAUUAUUAUAAUAGAAGCUUAGUUCACCUAGUGUUGGAUAAAAGUUGGACAGAUGCACAUAGGUAAGUCUUAUCCAUAUAAUGCUUUUACAAUCUGCCAGUGGAACUUUAAAUGAUACGAUUUACCAAUUUCAAUGAUGUAUAAUAGCAGAUUAAGUAAAAGCAGUGUUAGAUAUGAAAUGAACUUAAUUCAACCAUUCUCUAGAAGAAAGUACCUAUUUGUCAUAAUGGCGAUGUUAUCUUGUAGAACAGCAAUAGGGAUUUGUUAACAUUCGACCUUUAUGCUGUACUUUUUCCAUUUUGAUUCGCCCACUGUUAAUAUCCUCUUCUUCAACUGACACAUUCUUGCAAGCUAUCACAAUUGAUGAAAUAUAAUUACGAGCACUUAGCUUUUUUGAAUUUUAUAUGCAUACCAGAAGAUUUACUCGUUACAAACAUUAAACAGACGGACCUCUUUUUCAACAAGUUGUUUCAAAUCCCACUGAGACAAAAUAAAAGUGUGCUACUGCUAAUUACUAUACGAGAACAGAAUGUAUGGUUCUAUAUUGGAAUUUUUAGCUGUUGUGGUGUUCCUAAUAACUUAAAACUGCUGUGAAGAUGAACUGAACCAUAGUACUCUCGAAUUAGAGAGCAAGAAAUUUCGAGUUAGUCUACUGUAGGGUAAUAAAGUUCUUAUAUAUGCUGCAAAUCAGUUGCCUUGUGGUGUAAUCACUGAUGUCAUGUUUCCAUAAGUGGGCUGCUGUAAUGACCUUAAUAGUGCAAAGCUAUGUUUUAUAUAAAUUUGCCUAUUCUUUCCAGAGUGCAGGGAAAUGUAUGAGGUGAAUCAAUUUUCCUAUUCUGUUGUUGCUGCUAUAUUCAGGUGUAUGUGGGUUUAAGAUUGGCCACUAAUUGUUGAACCAGGAGCUUUCCCUCGUUAGGAAUAUAAGCUGAAACUUUCCCAUUGCCUUGAUUCUUUGUAGGAAAGACAUACAAGAUGACCAGGAACCAUGAAGCUUGCAGUUUGCGUUAACUGUGUAAUGGAGCGGACUAUGAAUCACUGGACAUGUGUCUAUUAGCUAUCAUAUAUGGUGUCUCGGUCAAGUGGAUAUUCUGUGUAAUGGAAGACGCAUGAUUUGUAGGACAUAUAUCUAUUGGCUAUCAUUUUGUAAACCUAUCCGGUCUCUCGGUCACUGAACCAUAAAUGUUUCCUCUUAAUUGGCUACCUCAUCCGUUUCUGAGAA
This is a long non-coding RNA of Triticum aestivum (bread wheat), 1843 nucleotides long. RefSeq lists it as uncharacterized. NCBI's taxonomy places the organism in Eukaryota, Viridiplantae, Streptophyta, Magnoliopsida, Poales, Poaceae. The transcript is spliced from 4 exons. The record is from RefSeq and is a predicted model, not a curated record.